UCUGGUUGAUCCUGCCAGUAGUGAUAUGCUUGUUUCAAAGAUUAAGCCAUGCAUGUCUAAGUAUAAGCGAACUUAUACAGUGAAACUGCGGAUGGCUCAUUAAAACAGUUUGAAUUUAUUUGAUGAAUGUAUGAGAAUACUACUUGGAUAACCGUAGUAAUUCUAGAGCUAAUACAUGCAACGACGCCCGACCGUUUCACUACGGAAGGGCUGUAUUUAUUGGAUACCAAAACCAUCCUUCCCUCGGGAAGUUUUGUUUGAUGAUUCACAAUAACUGAUCGGAUCGCCACUGUGGUGGCGACAGGUCAUUCAACAUUCUGCCCUAUCAGCUUUCGAUGGUUGUGUAGUGGACAACCAUGGCCAUAACGGGUAACGGAGAAUCAGGGUUCGAUUCCGGAGAAGGAGCUUGAGAAUUGGCUACUACAUCUAAGGAAGGCAGCAGGCGCGCAAAUUACCCAAUCCCGAUUCGGGGAGGUAGUGACAAAGAAUAACAAUACCGGGCCUUUUUGGGCUUGGUAAUUGGAAUGAGGGAGAGUUAAACGGACCAUCGAGUAUCCAUUGGAGGGCAAGUCUGGUGCCAGCAGCUGCGGUAAUACCAGCUCCAAUAGCGUAUAUUAAAGUUGUUGCAGUUAAAAAGCUCGUAGUUGGACUUGUGUGCGCUGUCCGCGGGUGGCCUGCGCCCAAAAGGGCGUUUCGGUUCGGCCCCGGUGGCGCCUUGAAAUCUGCAGCUGGGGGGACGUUGGCCUUAACUGGUCGGCGACCGCACGCCGGCUGCUCGGUUACUGUGAGAAAAUUAGAGUGUUCAAGGCAGGCAUUGGGUGCAAUUGAAUACAUUAGCAUGGAAUAAUAAAAUAUGGCUCCUGCCGUAUUUUGUUGGUUUUGACUGGUGGGAGUAAUGAUUGAUAGGGACGGUUGGGGGUGCUAGUAUUGAGCGGCCAGAGGUGAAAUUCAUGGAUUCGCUCAAGACUAACUUAUGCGAAAGCAUUCACCAAGGACGUCCUCUUUAAUCAAGAACGAAAGUUGGGGGAUCGAAGACGAUCAGAUACCGUCGUAGUCUCAACCAUAAACUAUGUCGACUUGGGAUCGGCGGUAGUUUUUUCAUUAAGACACUGUCGGGACCACGGGAGAAAUCAAAGUGUCUGGACUCUGGGGGAAGUAUGGUCGCAAGGCUGAAACUUGAAGGAAUUGACGGAAGGGCACCACCAGGAGUGGAGCCUGC
RNAcentral lists this ribosomal RNA (1219 nucleotides) under metagenome. RNAcentral describes it as "SSU rRNA". It matches the Rfam family "Eukaryotic small subunit ribosomal RNA", at positions 1 to 1186 of the family's 1831-position model. The record is from RNAcentral.